RNAcentral lists this ribosomal RNA (208 nucleotides) under uncultured bacterium. RNAcentral's name for it is "partial 16S ribosomal RNA". It matches the Rfam family "Bacterial small subunit ribosomal RNA", at positions 568 to 774 of the family's 1533-position model. The record is from RNAcentral.
CGCGUAGGCGGCCUGAUAAGUAGGGGGUGAAAUCCUGCGGCUUAACCGCAGGGCUGCCUUCUAAACUGUCAGGCUCGAGCACAGUAGAGGCAGGUGGAAUUCCCGGUGUAGCGGUGGAAUGCGUAGAGAUCGGGAAGAACAUCAGUGGCGAAGGCGGCCUGCUGGGCUGUUGCUGACGCUGAGGCGCGACAGCGGUGGGGAGCAAACA